RNAcentral lists this ribosomal RNA (262 nucleotides) under uncultured bacterium. RNAcentral's name for it is "partial 16S ribosomal RNA". It matches the Rfam family "Bacterial small subunit ribosomal RNA", at positions 793 to 1055 of the family's 1533-position model. The record is from RNAcentral.
GUCCAUGCCGUAAACGGUGGGCGCUAGGUGUAGGGGACUUCCACGUCUUCUGUGCCGCAGCUAACGCAUUAAGCGCCCCGCCUGGGGAGUACGGCCGCAAGGCUAAAACUCAAAGGAAUUGACGGGGGCCCGCACAAGCGGCGGAGCAUGUGGAUUAAUUCGAUGCAACGCGAAGAACCUUACCUGGGCUUGACAUACACCAGAUCGCUGCAGAGAUGUAGCUUCCCUUGUGGCUGGUGUACAGGUGGUGCAUGGUUGUCGU